CGAAGGGGCUAGCGUUGCUCGGAAUCACUGGGCGUAAAGGGUGCGUAGGCGGGUCUUUAAGUCAGAGGUGAAAGCCUGGAGCUCAACUCCAGAACUGCCUUUGAUACUGAGGAUCUUGAGUUCGGGAGAGGUGAGUGGAACUGCGAGUGUAGAGGUGAAAUUCGUAGAUAUUCGCAAGAACACCAGUGGCGAAGGCGGCUCACUGGCCCGAUACUGACGCUGAGGCACGAAAGCGUGGGAGCAAACAGGAUU
This 252-nucleotide ribosomal RNA is filed under the name uncultured bacterium. Its description in RNAcentral is "partial 16S ribosomal RNA". It matches the Rfam family "Bacterial small subunit ribosomal RNA", at positions 527 to 779 of the family's 1533-position model. The record is from RNAcentral.